RNAcentral lists this ribosomal RNA (727 nucleotides) under uncultured bacterium. RNAcentral's name for it is "bacterial SSU rRNA". It matches the Rfam family "Bacterial small subunit ribosomal RNA", at positions 779 to 1510 of the family's 1533-position model. The record is from RNAcentral.
UAGAUACCCUGGUAGUCCACGCUGUAAACUAUGUUCACUCGCUGUUUGCGAUAUACAGUAAGCGGCUAAGCGAAAGCAUUAAGUGAACCACCUGGGGAGUACGAUCGCAAGUUUGAAACUCAAAGGAAUUGACGGGGGCCCGCACAAGCGGAGGAACAUGUGGUUUAAUUCGAUGAUACGCGAGGAACCUUACCUGGGCUUAAAUGUAGAUUGCAUAAACCGGAGACGGUUUUUUCCUUCGGGACUAUUUACAAGGUGCUGCAUGGUUGUCGUCAGCUCGUGCCGUGAGGUGUCGGGUUAAGUCCCAUAACGAGCGCAACCCUUACCGUUAGUUGCCAACAGGUAAAGCUGGGGACUCUGGCGGGACUGCCACCGUAAGGUGAGAGGAAGGUGGGGAUGACGUCAAAUCAGCACGGCCCUUAUGUCCAGGGCUACACACGUGUUACAAUGGUCGGUACAAAAGGCAGCUACUCUGUGAAGGGAUGCUAAUCCUUAAAGCCGGUCUCAGUUCGGAUUGGAGUCUGCAACCCGACUUCAUGAAGUUGGAUUCGCUAGUAAUCGCGCAUCAGCCAUGGCGCGGUGAAUACGUUCCCGGGCCUUGUACACACCGCCCGUCAAACCAUGGGAGCUGGGGGUGCCUGAAGUCUGUGAUCCUGAGUAAUUGGGAAGCGGCCUAGGGUAAAACCAGUGACUGGGGUUAAGUCGUAACAAGGUAACCAAGGGCGAA